This is a long non-coding RNA of Bos taurus (domestic cattle), 3058 nucleotides long. The record is from Ensembl. NCBI's taxonomy places the organism in Eukaryota, Metazoa, Chordata, Mammalia, Artiodactyla, Bovidae.
GCAUAGUAGCAGGUGUGGUUACUUAUUUAUGAAGCACAUUUCCUCUGAGGUGUGGAAAAUGAGCUAGCUGUGAACCUGAUCCCGGCCUUAGAACGCUGACAGUGAGGAGGCAGAGCCCAGCCUGACCCCCCACAGCUCUCCCCCUCUGGUGCUCCUGGUAAUUCCCUGAGCUUCCCUUGUAUUCCCUUCUUGCUAGACAAUGAGGUCCUGAAGGGCAGGGACAGUGUUUGGUCACCAUUGUUUUCCUGUGCCCAGAGUCUCCCUGGCAAUAGGCAGGCCUUCAGUAAAUACAUAUAUCAUGAGUGAAUUUGGCAGACAAGCUUGCAACUACCCGGAAGCUGGAGGGAGGUAAAUACAAAAGAGGAGGCGAGGCCUUGGAGCUCCCAGACACCCACCCUAAAACAAGGAAGUAAUGCUAGAAACAGAUGGACAGAAGAAGCACCAUUUGAAGAAAGCUGUGGACCUCCUAUAGGAGAAAAGCCCCAAACAAACUUGACACUCUUUCAAGCGCAUGGUCUGACUCCUCCAGAACAAGGAAAACAAAACAAAACAGCCUUAAGUAAUCCACUCCCCCCAAUAAAAACGCCUACCCCAAACAGCAAUUGCUCCAGACUCAUAGAGCGUCCUAGUUACACAGUGGAAAGAACAAAGAUGUGAUUUAAGCAUCUUGAAAUUGAAAUAGCAAUUGCCAAACACCAGAGGAUCAGCAGAAUCAUUAGAUUCCAGAAAAUGCAGAACCUCUGAGGCCUCUGUAUUCUUCCAUUCUGAUGUCAGACUACUGGCAGCCCACGCUGAGCUGCCUUAUAAGAAAGUGCAGCUAGGCCACUAGAAAGAAGCAGAGGAAGGAGGGGCCAGCUGGCAUUGCUGGGGUUUGGAAGCUCUGCACUGCAGAUUCUGUUAACCAACACUGGACACUGUCUUCCUCUGCUCUCAGUGACCAGUGAGGCCAAGGCGGGCCACUUCAGCUGACUAGACACAGAUGUAGAUGUCUAUAAGUUUAUCAGUCAGGGGCCUGCCAGGAAAAUAGAAUUUAUCCCAGGUGGUUCAAAUAGAAAGACUAAUAAAAAGGAUCGACAGCAGUGAGCAUGAGGGAAACAGAUAAGGAGCAUUGUGGUACCUGAAGACUUGUGUCAGGGGUCGCCAUUACUUCUGUAAGGGCAAAGAGCAGCAGGAAGUCUCAGUGCCUGACCUGGCAGGACUGCAGCUAUGAGGAAGGGCUUCCAGAGAUGGGGCUCCAGAACAGGGAGGGAGUGGAGAAGAAAUCCUUGCCCAUUUCUCCCGAUUCCUGCUGACAAAAGCAGAAGCCAGCCAGCGAGGGUGCUCACAAUGGCACUUUCCUCAAGGGUCAGCUCCUGGAGCUGAGAAUACAUGGAGGCAGCCCUUUCGGGGAGAGGAUCUUGUGGGUUGCUGCAGGCAGUGACAGUGAUUUGCAGAAAGGUCAAUUAUUUGGAAGAGUUUAAAAAGGAUUGGAAUUCACCAGUGGAGCUAUCUAGUCCUGAACUUUUCUUUGUUGGUUGUCCAAUUUGCUGGGCUAUAACGUGGCACUGUGAUAAAGAGACUGCCUGCCAAAGCAAGAGAUGUGGUCUCGAUCUCUGGGUUGUGAAGAUCCCCUGGAGUAGGAAAUGGCAAUCCAUUCCAGUAUUCUUGCCUGGGAAAUUCCAUGGACAGAGAAGCCUGGUAGGCUGCAGUCCAUGGGGCCACAAAGAGUCAGACAUGACUGAGCGACUGAAUACAGCACAGUUGUUCAUAGUAGUCUCUUAGGAUCCUUUGUAUUUCUGUGGUAUCACUUGUAAUGUCUCCUCUUUCCUUUAUAAUUUUAUUUAUUUGAAUUCUUUGUCUUCUUUUUUUCUUGGUAGGUCAAACUGAAAUUCCAACACUGGAUAUUACCUGUUUUUUUUAAUGUUUGCUAGUUUGAUGAACUAUAACAUUUUAGUGUUUUAAUUGUAUUUUUGUUUACCGUGAGAAAUGGAAUAUUUUCCUUUGCCGUUUUCCAUUUCUAUUUCUUUUACUAUGAAGUACCUCUUUAUAUUCUUUCCCCCUUUUUAUUAAAUGGUUCACCUUAUUAAUGAAUUGUAAGAAUUAUUGACAUACUGAAUAUUAGCCUUAGCUUGUUUUACAUGCUGCAGACAUUUAAAUGUUAUUUUAACUUUGUGAUGUUUUUAUGGCUCCAAAUUUUGGAUGAUUAUGUGGCCCAGGUUUUUAAUCUUUUUUCUUUGUGGCUUCGGUGCUUUUCUACCUUCAGUAGGCCUUCCUCAUCCCAUGGUUAUAAACAAAUGAAGACAUUUAUUAAAGUCGCAGUGAGCUGUAGGCCAGCAUUUCCUUGGCUGUAGAGACUUAGGAGAGAAGCCCAGGUUGGGUUGGCUCUGCCUGGAGGCCAACAGUUCCACACUUCCUUCAUCCAGGGCAAAGAAAAGAGGCCACAGCUUGUGGAUGGUCACCACUGCCAUGAAGCAAGUCUAGACAGAGGCCUUCAAGCUGCUCUUGCUGUCCGCUCCAUCCUGGGAGGGUGCAGGAAGCAUGAGGCCACUGGGAAGACUGAGUCAUGGAGAGUCCCAUGCCUUCCUGCCCAAAGCCCCUGACAUGCUCAGCAGUCCCAGAACAGUGCAGGCAAGCUUCAUAAGAGAGAGAUUUUGAGGAUGCGCUGUCAAGUAGUAGAAAAAACAGACAUAGAGUUGUGGUUCUGAUGGUAAACGUGAAAGCAUCUGUUGUCACAAGGUCUCACUCAAGCAUCCGUAUUUGUUUUUUUUUUUUUUUUUUAAUUUUUAUCAUUUAGUAGCAUUUUAAAUUUUUUAUUUAUUGUUUUAAUUGGAGGCUAAUUACUUUACAAUAUUGUGGUGGUUUUUGCCAUACACUGACAUGGAUCAGCCAUGGGUAUACAUCUGUUCUCCAUCCUGAACCCCCCCUCCCACCUCCUUCUGCAUCCAAUCCCUCUGGGUCAUCCCAGUGCACUAGCCCUGAGCACCCUGCCUCAGGCACUAAAGCAUGGACUGGCGUGCAUGGACUGGCAAUCUAUUUCACAUAUGAUAAUAUACAUGUUUCAAUGCUCUUCUCUCAAAUC